ACCUUCGUAGUGCAAAGGUCAGCACGCUCGACCCGUAACCGAGUAGUCCGGGGUUCAAUUCCCGGCGAAGGUA
RNAcentral lists this transfer RNA (73 nucleotides) under Stegodyphus mimosarum. It matches the Rfam family "tRNA". From Rfam's summary of the family: Transfer RNA (tRNA) molecules are approximately 80 nucleotides in length. The record is from Rfam by way of RNAcentral. Lineage: Eukaryota; Metazoa; Arthropoda; Arachnida; Araneae; Eresidae.